UACGUAGGCAGCGAGCGCUGUUCGGAGUUACUGGGCGUAAAGGGUGUGUAGGCGGUUCUUUAAGUUUGGUGUGAAAUCUCCCGGCUCAACCGGGAGGGUGCGCCGAAUACUGAGGAACUAGAGUACGGGAGAGGAAAGUGGAAUUCCUGGUGUAGCGGUGAAAUGCGUAGAUAUCAGGAGGAACACCGGUGGUGUAGACGGCUUUCUGGACCGUAACUGACGCUGAGACACGAAAGCGUGGGUAGCAAACAGG
Molecule: ribosomal RNA, 253 nt
Filed under: uncultured bacterium
Lineage: Bacteria
Description: partial 16S ribosomal RNA
Rfam family: Bacterial small subunit ribosomal RNA
Source: RNAcentral